GUAAGGAAUAUUGCUCAAUGGGAGAAAUCCUGAAGCAGCAACGCCGCGUGGAGGAUGAAGGGUCUAUGACUUGUAAACUCCUGUAAAGAAGGAAAAAAUUCCCAUUAGAUGGGAGAUGAUGGUACUUCUGGAGUAAGCCCCGGCUAACUACGUGCCAGCAGCCGCGGUAAUACGUAGGGGGCAAGCGUUGUCCGGAGUUACUGGGUGUAAAGGGUGCUCAGGCGGAUUUGUAAGUCAGAGGUGAAACCUUACAGCUUAACUGUGAAACUGCCUUUGAUACUGCAAGCCUAGAGUAUGGAAGAGAGUGAUGGAAUAUCUGGUGUAGCAGUGAAAUGCGUAGAUAUCAGAUAGAACACCAAUGGCGAAGGCAGUCACUUGGUCCAUUACUGACGCUAAAGCACGAAAGCGUGGGUAGCAAACA
RNAcentral lists this ribosomal RNA (421 nucleotides) under uncultured bacterium. RNAcentral's name for it is "bacterial SSU rRNA". It matches the Rfam family "Bacterial small subunit ribosomal RNA", at positions 354 to 774 of the family's 1533-position model. The record is from RNAcentral.